Molecule: unclassified non-coding RNA, 329 nt
Filed under: Hevea brasiliensis (rubber tree)
Lineage: Eukaryota; Viridiplantae; Streptophyta; Magnoliopsida; Malpighiales; Euphorbiaceae
Source: RNAcentral
GCCGGCGCCGGAUUUUUUCUAUUUCUGACUUCGAACUUCAAUUGGUAGAUAGUAGAAGACGUUGUAGAGAGAGAAAAAAAGAAGCAAAAUCCGAUGAUGGGAAGCGAUUCAACAUGGGUAGGAAGAAAACCCAUGAGACGACUUGGUGGAAUGUCUGAUGCUCUCUCUAUUGCUGCUGAAUUGGGCUUUUCUGUUCCUCCUCCUCCUUCUCAGGAGGAGAUCCAAAACUUAUCCACCACCACUGGCGAAAAUGGUGAUGAUUUGAUCAGGGUCUUGAAGGAACUUACUGCUGUUCAAAGGAAGAUUGCAGAUUUACAAGUGGAACUUCA